Molecule: ribosomal RNA, 233 nt
Filed under: uncultured bacterium
Lineage: Bacteria
Description: partial 16S ribosomal RNA
Rfam family: Bacterial small subunit ribosomal RNA
Source: RNAcentral
UCCACGCCGUAAACGAUGAUCACUCGAUGUUGGCGAUAGACAGUCAGCGUCCAAGCGAAAGUAUUAAGUGAUCCACCUGGGGAGUACGAUCGCAAGGUUGAAACUCAAAGGAAUUGACGGGGGCCCGCACAAGCGGAGGAGCAUGUGGUUUAAUUCGAUGAUACGCGAGGAACCUUACCUAGACUUAAAUGUAGAUUGCAUAGAGUAGAAAUAUUCUUUUCCUUCGGGACUAU